CUACAUCUCAAAAUGUCAAGGACAACCUUGAUUUUCUCUCUGUGUGUGUGUUUGUGGCGGGGGAGAUAUGAGCUGCAACCUGGUCUGCAGUCUGAAGAGGUACUGCUCUUCCCCACUUACUCGCAGCUUAUUUGUUUACAGAAUUUAUACCCCACCCUUACGCCAAAAAGGCUGUCCGAGUGGCUUAUACACAACUCCGCUUCCCUCAGUCAGGGCUGGAUCUAGAUGGAGAGAGGUCCUAGGCUACUGCACUUGUGAGGGGCAACCCCAAUCCCCCACGCUCACGACUAGAAGAAAAUGGAAGAGUGUUAUAAACAAAAUUGAGUGAAGCCAAGGAUGAUGACAGGUAUUUAAAAUUUUGCAAUUUACUUUUUUCUCCUCUAGAGGACAUAAGAUGUUCUUGUUAAAUACCAUGGUGAUUUAAAAUAAAUAAAUGCAUAAAUGUUAAAAUUAACACUGAAAAACUUCUGCUGUAACUGAACUUUGUAAACCUUUUGUGGAAUCAGCAUUACUUUUUAGGAAAAUGAAGUUGUAAUGUUAUUAUUUUGAAAAACAACAACAUUGAGUUUACAAAUUAUAUUGCCUGAGAAGUGUAAAUAAUAUGAUCAUGAUUGCUUGACAGUGCGGCACUUUUAGAUUCUACUUUAGGUUCUCAUUAAACAGUCAGUUUUAAAAUACAUAUUUUAAACUACAACCAUCAAAUACAGUAAGACUAUAAAUAUUUUUUUCUCGCCUUCCUCAUAGCAAAAUCAUCCAAAACUUCGUCAAAAGUUCUUUGUCUAAGUUUGUCACUUUCAAUGUACAGAAUGCUCAGUGCGGACCUCUCUUGAGACAUGGUGGCUGUUAAUUCAUUUUAAAUUCUUUUGAGUCUUGAAAAUCUCCUCUCUCCCAAGCAGUUAGCGACCAUAAAGCUAAGAAAUAGCCACAAGAUUGCUUCCACAUUAGGAAAGGCCAUCUGAAUUUUUUUGUUGUAUAUAAUUUGAUAAAGGUCUGUAUGAGACAGAGAGUGCUCUGCUGUAAGCCUAUAGGUGAAAGCGCAAAAGUUCACUGAGGGUCUUGAGAGCGGCUUUUGCCAUUUGCCCUGCCAGUUUCCCCAGGACAAAUCCACUGCUUGUUUAUUUUAUUUAUUUACUGGAUUUAUAUGGAUUGCAACAAGAUGACCACUGAAGGAAGUCUGAUGAAAAAGUGUACACGGUGCACUGUUCUCAUAGCCUGGGGGGCUGAAAUUCUUUUUCAAAGACCUCCUCCACAGUUGCGUUUUCAUAAGCAGGAGGGGCUGUGAGGGGCUCCAGGCGUCCCACCUGCUCUUCAACACCUUUGAGUUCAUGGGUAUCCGAGACAAAUCGCUGCAGUUUUGGCGGUGUGAGUAACCUGAGUCGGAACCUCGACUGCAGAUCUGCCUUCGAAGCAGCCGUGUGCCUGGGGCCAGCGAGACACUGAAUGCCUUGACCACAGUCUCUCUAUGGGCUGGAGGCUCAAUGACCACGCUGCACGAGGGGGCUUCUGGACUGGAUGUGAUGGUCCAGAUCAUAGGUAGGCAAACUAAGACCUGGGGGCCAGAUGCGGUCCAACUGCCUUCUAAAUCUGGCCCGUGGACAGUCCAGGAAUCAGUGUGUUUUCACACGAGUAGAAUGUGUCCUUUUAUUUAAAAUGCAUCUCUGGGUUAUUUGUGGGGCUUGCCUGGUGUUUUUACAUGAGUAGAAUGUGUGUUUUUAUUUAGAAUGCAUCUCUGGGUUAUUUGUGGGACAUAGGAAUUCGUUCAUCCCCCCCCCCCCAUACACAGUCAUACCUCGGGUUGAAGAAGCUUCAGGAUAAGUAUUUUCGGAUUGCGUGUUGUGCUGACCCAGAAGUAACGGAGCGCAUUACUUCCGGGUUUUGCCGCUUGCGCAUGUGCAGGCGAUCAAAAUUACGUCAUGUGCAUGUGCAGAAUUGGCGAAUCGUGACCCGUGGACGCAGGUUACAUUCACUUCUGGAUGCGAAUGGGGCUCCAAAAUGGAUCCCGUCCACAUCCAGAGGUACCACUGUAGUCCGGCCCCCCCCACAAGGUCUGAGGGACAGUGGACUGGCCCCAUAGCUGUCAACUUUUCCCUUUUCUUGAGAGGAAUCCUAUUCGGAAUAAGGGAAUUUCCCUUAAAAAAAGGGAAAUGUUGAUAGCUAUGACUGGCCCCCUGCUGAAAAGGUUUGCUGACCUCUGGUCCAGAUAGUUGGUCCCAAUAAGUAACCUCAUAUGCUGGUGCCUCAUAGGCCUCAUUGUCUAUGCUGGUAAAAGAGAGGGGAAGUAGUUAAAAACACAAAUCACCAUAAUAGCUCCAUACUUCCACAAAGGAGGAUUAUCUGUGCUAUCAACAAACAAGGCACAAUACCUAUCAUAUUCAAGCAACGGGAUCAUCAAGUGCAUUCUGCUAUCUGGCCCCCACAAUCACAGGCCUCAUCUGCACCAUGCAUUUAAAACACUAUGAUACCAGAUGUGUGUGGGGUAUAGAUAAUAAAAUUAUUAUUAUUAUUAUUAUUAUUAUUAUUAUUAUUAUUAUUAAACAGUGAGAGCUUCCCCCAAAAGAAUUGUGGGAACUGUAGCUUGCCAUGAGAGCGGUCAGGGGACUCCUAAUCUGUUCACCAGAGCUACAGUUCCCAAUGUUCGCUGCGGAGGUGUGACUAUUGAACCUACUGUUGAAUUUGAUAGACUUUUAGGGUGCUUCCAGAUAGAAUCCCACCCCAAAAUAGGAACAAACACCUACAGUCAUACUUCGGGAUAAAUACGCUUCAGGUUGAGCGCUUUUGGGUUGCGCUCUGCAGCGACCCGGAAGUAACGUAGUGCGUUACUUCUGGGUUUCGCCGCUUGCGUAUGUACAGACGGUCAAAAUGAUGUCAUGCGCAUGCACGGAAACGGCGAAAUGCGACCAGCGCAUGCACGGACACAUUGUCGCGUCUUACGUUCUGUUCGGGAUGUGAACGGGGCUCCGGAAUGGAUCCCGUUCGCAUCCCAAGGUACCACUGUAUUGGAAAAUUCAAGCUGUGCAAUUGUAGUUGAUUGGUAGGUCUUGCGUAACAACCUUCUUCUCCAAAAGUCUGGACUUUCGGCGAUAAGUGAAGUGAUGGGAUAAUGCAGUGCUUUUUUUUCUUAAGAAAUGUUUAGGGGUACUCUCAUUUUGACUCAAUAAAAUCACCAUUUUAUAGUUCAAAUCCGGGAAAAUAAAUACAGUAAAUGGACAAAAGUACAAAGAUUCACAAAAUGUUUAGGAGUAUGCGUACCCCUGCGUACACCCAGAAAAAAGCACUGGGGUAAUGCAUUGUAAAGUGUGGUGCAAAUGCCAUCUAAUAUCUCUGCAAAUAUUGUCAGUAUCUUUUAACUCAGUUGAUGAAGAUCCCUUCACUCUUACCCCUGGCUUUCUUGGAGCUGGUUCAGAUGUAAUGCCAACCCAUGGUUUACAUUGCUUUUAACAACCAGCCACAAGCAGUUUUGUUAAUGUGAUCCUGCAGUCCUCCACUGGGAACAUUUCACAUAAUGCAUUAUUUGAUUCACUGACCCAAGAGGAGGUGGUAACUGGUAGCUCAGGAGGGCUUUGAAGACUUCAGGCCUAAGUCAAUGGAGAAUGGAUAAAUUAUAAGCUAUUUGCCAUUACAGUUAAACAGCUGAGAGGUAACAUGGUGUGUGCAUAUAAAUAAUAAAAUUAUUAUUAUUGAAUAGGAUGUCCCUAUUUUCAUCGAAGAAAUCCUUCUGAGGUGGGGAGGUGCAGGUAUUUGGGGCUUAUUCUUGGUUUUUUAUGUGAGAAGAUAAAAGAGUGUCGUUUUCUCUGCCAACUGUGGAGUUGGGUUGAGGGGAUCCAGAUUGGGAGGGUUUGGAAUAGGUAGGUUAGUUUUGGGAGUGUGAUCAUUUUGAUCAUGGCUAUUUUGUCUGAGAGAGUGAAAUUCAUGUUAUUCCAUCUCUUUAGGUCUUUGUUAAUUUGUCGCCACAGGGGCUUGUAGUUGUAGAGGUACAAUUUAUGGAGGUUUCUGGUUAUUUGUACCCCUAGGUAUCUGAACUUGGUGUGGCAAAGUUUUAUUUUGGUGACCUUCAUGAGUUCUUUUUGGGUGUGAGGAGGGGCGUUGAAGCACAUAGCUUCUGACUUUGUAAAAUUUACCUGUAGGCCUGACACCCUUGCUUGACUGUAUUCUCUUGAGCUUCAGAAAGAAAGAGUUCUGAAAGGGAAAAUCACUGAGGACAAUUUCAGAUAAAUAGCCAAAGCUUGUACAGAUUAUCAGCAGGGCUAAAGCUCACAAUGUGUGUAAGGCUUAUUAGAAGUGUUCAAAAUAACCAAAAGGAGGGUAGUUUUGUGUGUGUGUGUGUGUUUUGCUGUGUUCAGGAAAUGAUAGGUUCACGCUGUGAAGGACAGAGAAGUGUUAGCAGGUGACAGGGAGCAGACAGGAUUGCUUCAGUCUUCUCACACAAUGGAAACUGUGCUUGACCUCAUAAAAGCAGAUUAAGUGAUAAAUGGACAGAGUUGCAUCCCAAGAUAGGUGAAGAGGUGAUAAAGGAAGCCUUAGCCCAUUGAAACUAAUUCAAGUCUUCAGGGCCUGGUGAAUUGCACCCUAGGGUACUAAAGGAACUUGCACAUAUUAUGUCAGUGGUUAGUUACACUUUUUGGAAAAUCUUCAAGAACCACAACCCUGGAAGUGGGCAGAUGUUUAUUUUAUAAAUUUCUAUACCGCUUUAUAUUUUUAAGAAAAAUCUCAAAGUGGUUUACAGAAUAUUAAAUCAAUAAAACAUAAAUAAGACAGUCUGAAGAAAGUCAAAUGUAGAGAAUAAAGUCAAAGCAACAUAACAGAAAACUUAAAUAUUAUCUUAAAGAUUUCAAAAUAGAACAUUACAAAGGAGGUCAACUACAGAAUACAUAUUUAACAUUGUAGGGCUGGUGAGUGUGGGCCCAGCCCCCUAGGCCAGGUGGAAAGGGCCUUGCAGGGAGCGGCCUCCAUGCCCCACAGCCGGGUGAUGUUCCUCCGGCCUCAUGAGGAGCCUCUUCAGUGGGGCUGGUGAGUGUGGGCCCAGCCCCCUAGGCCAGGUGGAAAGGGCCUUGCAGGGAGCGGCCUCCAUGCCCCACAGCCGGGCGAUGUUCCUCCGGCCUCAUGAGGAGCCUCUUCAGUGGGGCUGGUGAGUGUGGGCCCAGCCCCCUAGGCCACGUGGAAAGGGCCUUGCAGGGAGCGGCCUCCACACCUCACAGCCGGGUAAUGUUCCUCCGGCCUCAUGAGGAGCCUCUUCAGUGGGGCUGGUGAGUGUGGGCCCAGCCCCCUAGGCCAGGUGGAAAGGGCCUUGCAGGGAGCGGCCUCCAUGCCCCACAGCCGGGCGAUGUUCCUCCGGCCUCAUGAGGAGCCUCUUCAGUGGGGCUGGUGAGUGUGGGCCCAGCCCCCUAGGCCAAGUGGAAAGGGCCUUGCAGGGAGCGGCCUCCACACCUCACAGCCGGGUAAUGUUCCUCCGGCCUCAUGAGGAGCCUCUUCAGUGGGGCUGGUGAGUGUGGGCCCUGCCCCUAGGCCAGGUGGAGAGGACCUUGCAGGGAGUGGCCUUCACACACACAGCCAGGCGAUGUUCCUCCGGCCUCAUGAGGAGCCUCUUCAGUAGGGCUGGUGAGUUUGGGCCUCGCCCCCUAGGCCAAGUAGAAAGGGCCUUGCAGGGAGCGGCCUCCACACCUCACAGCCGGGUAAUGUUCCUCCGGCCUCAUGAGGAGCCUCUUCAGUGGGGCUGGUGAGUGUGGGCCCAGCCCCUAGGCCAGGUGGAAAGGGCCUUGCAGGGAGCGGCCUCCAUGCCCCACAGCCGGGCGAUGUUCCUCCGGCCUCAUGAGGAGCCUCUUCAGUGGGGCUGGUGAGUGUGGGCCCAGCCCCUAGGCCAAGUGGAAAGGGCCUUGCAGGGAGCGGCCUCCACACCUCACAGCCGGGUAAUGUUCCUCCGGCCUCAUGAGGAGCCUCUUCAGUGGGGCUGGUGAGUGUGGGCCCUGCCCCCUAGGCCAAGUGGAAAGGGCCUUGCAGGGAGCGGCCUCCAUGCCCCACAGCCGGGCGAUGUUCCUCCGGCCUCAUGAGGAGCCUCUUCAGUGGGGCUGGUGAGUGUGGGCCCUGCCCCUUAGGCUAGGUAGAAAGGGCCUUGUAGGGAGAGGCCUCCACACCUCGCAGCUGGGCGAUGUUCCUAUAGGUGGAGCGCUACAACUCAAACUUUUGACUAGGACUGCUGUGAACAUUUUUUGAUCUUGAUUCAGGAGAUUAAGAAGGCAAAAGGAAUUGAAACCGUUACUUUAUUUUAUCUGGGUUUGGGAAUUAAUCCAAUACAAAAAUGUUUCCCUGUACCCUGCACAUCAACACCUCUUCAUAUUGUGUUAAAUAAUAUUUCCAAUUUCGGAAUUGAAAAGUCUUUGAUUUUGAUUUUAAAAAAUAAAAGCAAGAAAGACAAUUUUCUACCUGUGAUCCCUUGGGAGAUGUUUGUUGAUGGUGCCACUUUCAAUUACAACUAGGUAGAAAUUAUGGGAGGAACAAGAACAUCUUAUUAUAGGGAAAGGGAAGAGCAUAGACACCCCCCCCCCCAAGAAAAACUGGCUAUGGGAGGCUCAGGAGAAUCUCCAGAAAAGCACACAGUGGAGGAGAAUUUCCCGUCUCCCACUCAGUGAAGAAUUCGAACUCAGGCUGCAGAGUCUACCAAAAUCUUUAAUGCUCAGAUCAGUGUACAUGGGCAAAAUGCCAUUCAAAGGCACAGCAGGUGCUACACAUAGCAAAGCAAGCAAAGACAUUGAUCCAGGAACGACAUAUACCCCAACUUAAGAGCUAACUCUUCUUAAGCCCCCUCCCCAAUAAAAUAUUUGAAGGGGCUGGGACCCCCCCCAAAAAAGUUGAUGGGUAUUGCCAUUCAAAUGGGGGGGGGUGCGCCAUGUCAUGUAAUUGAUUAUGGAGGGUGGUGCUUACUGCCCCCCCCCCAAUAUUUUAUUCAAGUUGGUACCCCAGCAACCCUGUUAUUAGGGACUGGGGUGGGCACUAAUACACAUUUGUAUCCACUGUAUUAAUGGGCUGAGGGACUUUUUUAUGUGUCCUUAUGACCAACAGGUGGUGGAAGGAGCGAGCCAGAUUCUAGUGAGAGAGACUGUCCCUGGCUAUAGUACUGGUUUUAGCCCUCUCACUGGUCAGAGGUGAAGGAGCUAAUGAGCAGAGGGAUUAGGAGGGUGAAAUAUACUCGGAGUCAAGAAGUGAUUUCACGCUCUUUAUUGCAGCUUGAAAAACAGCAAAUGCAUUUCCCCUCAAACCUCAGGCUUAUUUACAUUAUUUACACAAUGAAUCCCAUCUGAUUGGUUGAUUAUGUUUCCCUCCUGGAGCCUGAUUGGGCUGCUACUGCAGGCCAAUCAGUUGUUGCAUCCUAGGACCCUACCAGCCUAAUAGGCUGAUUAACUUCUUCCUGGGAUAUGAUUGGGCUGCUCCUGCAGGCCAAUCCAGUUGUUGCAUUCUAGGAUCCUACCUGCCUAUUGUUCUAGGAUCCAAGCUUAGUACAUAACAGAGAGGGAGGCUGGGGGAAUAGGUUUAAAAUGGAAACUAAAACCAGCUUAGGUUAGAUUUCUUUUCAAAACUAUAACUAGUAUUUUUUUUUAAGUAAACAAAGGAAUUGUAAGGCACAGAAAAAUUAUUAUUUACAACUUUAAAAAGAGAUACAAGGGAAAACUAAGAAAUGAAAGAAUGUGAGGGGCGAAAUCAAGUUUAUUUACCUUUCAGCCAACAAGUCUUUGGAUGUGAAAAGGAGCACAGGAAAUGACGGUAGGUGGAUAUGAAGUCUGCUUCAAGCAGAUUGAAGAAUAAAUACAGAAAAUAGAAGGCUGGGAUUUCUGUUGCCAAAGUUGUUGUUUGUUUGUUUGUUUGUUUGUUUGUUUUCUAUACUGCCCUAUACUGGAAGGUCUCAGGGCUGUUCACAUAAAAUAUCAAAUGCACAAAAUCAAAACAAUAACAACCCAAUAACCCCACCCCCAAAAAAGAGCCAGCAUUUAAAAAAGGGUAUAGGAUGUAGAUCAGGUCAGGCAAAGGCCUUGUUAAAAAGAGACGUUUUUUACCUGGUGCCUAAAGUAUAUAGUGAAGGCGCCAGGCAAACCUCACUGGGGAGAGCAUUCCACAGGUGGGGAGCCACUGCAGAGAAGGCCCUUUCUUGUGUUGCCACCCUCUGGACCUCACAUGGGUGAGGCACACAAAGAAGGGCCUCAGAAGAUGAUCUCAGGCUCCGGGUAGGUUCAUAUGGGAGGAGGCUUUCCUUGAAGUAUUGUGGUCCUGAGCUGUUUAAGGCUUUAUAGGUCAACACCAGCACUUUGAAUUGGUCCCAUAAAUUAAUUGGUAGCCAGUGCAGUUGGACCAGGAUUGAUGUAAUAUGCUCAAACCGUCUUGCUGCAGUGAGCAACCUGGCCACUGUAUUCUGCACCAGCUGAAGUUUCCGAACCUUCUUCAAAGGCAGCCCUAUGCAUAAUGCAUUGCAGUAAUCUAACCUUGAGGUUACCAGAGCAUAGACAACAGUAGUUAGGCUAUCCCUGUCCAGAUAGAGGUGUAGCUGGGCCACCAGCCGAAGCUGACGGAAGGCACUCUGGGCCACUGAGGUGAUCUAAGCCUCAAGCAACAGCAAAGGAUCCAGGAGUACCCCCAAGCUACAAACCUACUCCUUAAGGGGCAGUGUAACCCCAUCCAGAGCAGGCGACCUCCCAGGGUUAAACAACAUGGGGGAUAGAAUUGAGCCCUGCGGAACCCCUGUUGGAGGUUCCACAGGGCUGAAAAGUAACACCCUCCGGGAGCGACCAUCCAAGUAGGACUGGAACCACCGCAAAUUGGUGCCACUUACUCCUAGUUCAGAGAGUUGCUCCAGAAGGAUACUGUGGUCGAUGGCAUCGAAAGCCGCUGAGAGGUCGAGAAGAAUUAACAGGGACAUGUUUCCCUUGUCUCUCUCUUGACAGGUCAUCACACAGGGUGACCAAGGCAGUUUCUGUGCCAAAACCAGGCCUAAACCCUGGUUGAAAUGGAUCCAGAAAAUCAGCUUCUUCCAAGAACACUUGGAUCUGGUCUGCGACCAUUCGCUCCAGAACUUCACUCCAGAAGUUAGAAAAACCAAGAUUGGGAAGAUUUUAACAUAGGUAAGACUUAGAAGUGAGAAGGGUAGGUGGAUCCAGGGGGGAAGAAGGCUGUGCAUGUGAUAAAGAGCAAAGCAGAGGGGGAGAAGACAACAUAGUUCCUUUUAAUUUCAUGUUAUCUCAGGUUGCCUUGUUGACAAAAACGCUUUGCAGCCAUUUUGUGAUAGGUUCUUGGGGACUAUAGAUAAGCUCCUUUGCUAAUGGGCAGAACUUCAUUUUAUUUAUAAUGUGGCUUCCAAGGAAUAGAAUAACAAACCCUCUUGAGCAGCUGGCUUAAAAGUGGUGGCAUUUGGCAUGUGAAGCUAGGAAGAGGCAUUAAUAUUAUUGUUAUUGUUAUUAUUAAUACCCCACCCUUUUCCCUGAUGGGAAUCAAGGCAACUGACAAGCCACUUCAGAUUGGUGAAGUUAGAACAGAAUGAAAGCACAAAAAGAGAAAUAACUAUUGAAAAGAAAAGCUUUGGAAGUCACUAGGAUCAAGAAUUGGUUCUGGGGCAAGCAAGAAAAGGAGGAAAUAACUGAGAAAGCCAAAAGAAGCAGCAGCAAAAAGCAACCAACUAAAGGUGAGAGUAUUAUACCUAAUUGUAGUUACUGGGCAACUGCAGAAGAGGCUUACCAAAAUAUUGUUGAGUUUUUAUUCCUUCAGAUGUGUAUAAAUCCAGAAGGUUCCAAGCAUGGUUUGGAUCCUCACCAGUACUUCUGCUCCCAAGGUAAUACAUUUAGAAGAGCCAUUUUAAAAUCUGAUGCCUCAAACUGCUUCCUUUAUCUUAUAACAGUUGCCUUGCUGAUUUCAGUGUGAAAAAAACAAAUAAUGCAUUUUGAGGAUGAACCUACUGAUAGCAAUGGUAGAGGCGGCUUGGUAGAGGCAUUAGAGUGAGUAUCUAGAUUCUAGAGGUUUUCACCAUAUUUUCGGCCAUUUGUAAGCAAAACUACAAACAUGUAAAGUCCAGCAAACGUUUAAGCACCUACAAAUUCAUAAUUAGUAGGAAUGAGCCGUGACCAUUUUUUCCUGUACAUAAAGGGCAGAAAACUUUGUCUGCUAAUGGUAAGGCUGAAAUAUUUGAAACUCUCUGGCCAUUUUCACUCAUACAUAAGAGGGUGGCUGAACGUUCCACUAAUGACCGGAGGGGUGUGGUGGGGCUCACAAGAUAAGGCUGAAAUGACUGAGAAGUUAUUGAAAGCUUAGGAAUCCUGACUGGCCAUUUUCACUCGUAAAUAAGAGGGUGGCUGAUUGUUCCACUAAUGACCAAAUGGGGCACACAAAAUAAUAACAACCCACAUUUGUGAAACAUUUUGGAAUAGAGAUCUGUACCUCUAUAUCCUGUAGAUAAAGGAGGAAUGUAGCUCCCAAUUUUCUUUGCCUGGGGUGCAAAUAUUUGAAACUCUCUGGCCAUUUUCACUCAUACAUAAGAUGGUGGCUGAACGUUCCACUAAUGACCAGCGAGGUGUGGUGGGGCACACAAGAUAAGGCAGAAUUGACUGAGAAGUUAUUGAAAGCUUAGGAAUCCUGACUGGCCAUUUUCACUCCUAAAUAAGAGGGUGUCUGAUUGUUCCACUAAUGACCAGAUGGGGCACGCAAAAUCACAACAACCCACAUUUAUGAAACAUUUUGGAAUAGAGAUCUGUACCCCUAUAUCCUGUAGAUAAAGGAGGCAUGUAGCUCCCAAUUUUUUUUGCCUGGGGUGCAAAUAUUUGAAACUCUCUGGCCAUUUUCACUCAUACAUAAGAGGGUGGCUGAACGUUCCACUAAUGACCAGAGGGGUGUGGUGGGGCUCACAAGAUAAGGCCGAAUUGACAGAAGUUAUUGAAAGCUUAGGAAUCCUGACUGGCCAUUUUCACUCGUAAAUAAGAGGGUGGCUUAUUGUUCCACUAAUGACCAGAUGGGGCACACAAAAUCACAACAACCCACAUUUGUGAAACAUUUUGGAAUAGAGAUCUGUACCCCUAUAUCCUGUAGAUAAAGGAGGCAUGUAGCUCCCAAUUUUCUUUGCCUGGGGUGCAAAUAAUUGAAACUCUCUGGCCAUUUUCACUCAUACAUAAGAGGGUGGCUGAACAUUCCACUAAUGACCAGAGAGGUGUGGUGGGGCACACAAGAUUUUUUUUUUAAAAAAAAAUCUUUAUUACUUUUAAAACUUACAAGAAAAGAAAAAGGAAGAAAAUGGGCGAAAGAAAAAGACAAAAUAGAACAGAGGAAAAAAAGAGAGAGAAAAGAAAAAACAAUACAAUAAACAAUACAAAACACAACCUUAACACAUUAACCUAAACAAAGCAAAAGAACAACAAUUUAAAAACAUAUACCAUACCAUUUCAUUACUCUAUCUUUCAUUCCCUUAUUUCAUCGACCUCCUCUCACCUCCCUUUUGUAUUCCACUUCUAUUACUUGUUUCAGCAAUUCCUUUCCAUCUUUCUCUAUUUUUAUCAUUAUGAAUAUCUUAACAUAUUUUAUACCUUACUUUCCAUUAAUACUGAAAUACUUAUUUAUACCUAACUCCUUAUAACAUUUCUGCUAAAGCCAUAAAAUUUCAUUCCAACAAUUUUCUAACACUCAUUAAAUUUACAAUAUUUCUAUAUAUAAACUUUAAACUUUCCCAAUCUUCUACCACCAUCUCUUCUCCCUGGUCUCGGAUUCUGCCAGUCAUUUCCGUCCAUUCCAUAUAGUUCAUCAACCUGGAGAUCUUCUGUCCGAAGCUCUUAAAUCUUUUCCAAGUCCCGUCUGCAGUUUUUCUUCAUAUUCUUUGAUACUGAGGGUGCUGAAGCGCAAGUCUUGGGGGGGGGGGCCCAAUCCAACCAUGCCCCUAUUCCCUCUCGACAGACCAACCAACUCUCCACAGCUAAAACCAGUGUCCAUACAAUGUCCCAAAUCAUGUUUCAAGGCUCCUCCAGAUCCAAAGGCCCCCACAACUCCAAUCACCUCCUGACCCAGAUUCAGGACCCAAAGGUCAGUAAAUCUCUGCUUGAAAGAGUCUAUCCAACCUUCCUUCUUCAAUCCAAGCAGGGCUCCAGUCUUCAAAUUCUGACUUUUUCUAUAUUCAUUCAUAAAAGGCCUCCACUUAUAAUCCUCAGUUUGCCUCUGUAAAACUGGGGCUUCCACUUGUAUUAUUUUAGGUUUAGCAAGACCAAUAUUCUCCUUCGUCUUCUCCCCAGUUUGUCCUAUCAAGAUAGGUUCCUGUGUCAAAUCCUAAACAAUUUCUGUAUUAAUGGUCACUUUUUGUUCCAAAUUAGUCACUUUUUGUCCCAAGUUCUCAAGUUUGGUAUUCAUAGCGUCCGUCUUCUUGUGGAGCUGUUCCAACGAAUAGCUUAUCUUUCAUAAUACAGUCACUAAGGCUCCUGUCAACAUUCUCUCCAAGGUCAAACUCUAUUUCACACAGUUCUUAUCUUGCGACUGGAAGAACCCCAGCUCCACUCUUGUAACAGUUUCAAAAGCUCCCUCUAGAGGGAAACAGUCUCCACUUGUAUCAAUCCUUUCAAACACAAUUUAAACUAUAGUUUCUUUUCCUACUUUUUAAACGCAGAUGAGUACAAUGGAAACAAUAUAUUUCUCUUAUUGCUAGCUGUCAAAAAAGUCACUCUUUCUGGCAGCCCAUUUCCAGGUUCAGAGCAGUGGUAAUUUGGUUUUUCACUCUCUCCUGCAGGCUCGCUAGGUCCAAAAUUUCCCCCCUCUUCUCCUGCUUCCAAGGGGGGUUUAAUAGUUUUAACCGAUGGAGAUUUACAAAAAUAAACUUUACAAAAAUAAACUUUCCAAGGCUUUAACUUGCAACUUCUUUGCUUCAAUCUGUUUACAAAAAAGGGAAGGCGGACUUCCUGUUUAGAACCUUCCCGUUUCGAUGCCAAAUUAAUGAAUUUAAGGAUCUAAUUUUCCGUUCUACUCACGGGUCAUUGUUUAAAAUCCAAUUGUCCACAAGAAAAAGUCAGCGCUCUCUGGCAACAGCGAUGCGGCUUCACUCCGUGAAAGAAGCAGUCAAUUUGAAGCACCGCGCCACUCACCCCACUUCGCUCCAGAUCCCCAAAUCAGGGUUUCCCCACGAGUAGGGGAGGCGCAAAGGGUGCCAGCCGAAUCCCAAGUUCACAGGCUUCUCCCGCCUGUGAUUUCAGUGGGUCUCCGCCUUCGCCGUGGCAGUCAGACCCUAAUUUCCACGGAGCAAAUUCCUCCCGAUCGGAGGAACUCCGCCAUUGCCUGGAGGCGCCAACCCGGAAGUUUGGGGUCACACAAGAUAAGGCUGAAUUGACUGAGAAGUUAUUGAAAGCUUAGGAAUCCUGACUGGCCAUUUUCACUCGUAAAUAAGAGGGUGGCUGAAAGUUCCACUAAUGACCAGAUGGGGCACGCAAAAUAAUAACAACCCACAUUUGUGAAACAUUUUGGAAUAGAGAUAUGUACCCCUAUAUCCUGUAGAUAACGAGGCAUGUAGCUCCCAAUUUUCUUUGCCUAGGGGUGCAAAUAGGGCUGUUUAAUGCGGGAAACACGAUCCAUUAACGCUGAGACUUUAUUAGAAAUUUAAUUUGACCAAAAUUGUGUUACUGGCUUUUUGGUGAAAAACUUGCAUGAUAGGGUAGAUAGCUACUGGGUUUCUUGAAUUUCAGAGAGUUGGACUAGGUGACACCAAAGUCCCUUCCAACCCUGCGAAUCUGUGGAUGUAUGGAAGGAAAUGUGUCUGCAAGGAUUGGAGUGGGUAUUUAGGGGUUUCCACCAUUUUGUCAGCCAUUUGUAAGCAAAACUACAAACAUGUAAAGUCCAGCAAACGUUUAAGCACCUACAAAUUCAUAAUUAGUAGGAAUGAGCCUUGACCAUUUUCCCCUGUACAUAAAGGGCAGAAAACUUUGUCUGCUAAUGGUAAGGCUGAAAUAUUUGAAACUCUGGCCAUUUUCACUCAUACAUAAGAAGGUGGCUGAACGUUCCACUAAUGACCAGAGGGGUGUGGUGGGGCUCACAAGAUAAGGCUGAAAUGACUGAGAAGUUAUUGAAAGCUUAGGAAUCCUGACUGGCCAUUUUCACUCGUACAUAAGAGGGUGGCUGAUUGUUCCACUAAUGACCAAAUGGGGCACACAAAAUAAUAACAACCCACAUUUGUGAAACAUUUUGGAAUAGAGAUCUGUACCCCUAUAUCCUGUAGAUAAAGGAGGCAUGUAGCUCCCAAUUUUCUUUGCCUGGGGUGCAAAUAUUUGAAACUCUCUGGCCAUUUUCACUCAUACAUAAGAGGGUGGCUGAACGUUCCACUAAUGACCAGAGGGGUGUGGUGGGGCACACAAGAUAAGGCCGAAUUGACUGAGAAGUUAUUGAAAGCUUAGGAAUCCUGACUGGCCAUUUUCACUCAUACAUAAGAGGGUGGCUGAUUGUUCCACUAAUGACCAGAUGGGGUGUGGUGGGGCUCACCAGAUAAGGCUGAAAUGACUGAGAAGUUAUUGAAAGCUUAGGAAUCCUGACUGGCCAUUUUCACUCGUAAAUAAGAGGGUGGCUGAACGUUCCACUAAUGACCAGAUGGGGCACGCAAAAUAAUAACAACCCACAUUUGUGAAACAUUUUGGAAUAGAGAUCUGUACCUCUAUAUCCUGUAGAUAAAGGAGGCAUGUAGCUCCCAAUUUUCUUUGCCUGGGGUGCAAAUAUUUGAAACUCUCUGGCCAUUUUCACUCAUACAUAAGAGGGUGGCUGAACGUUCCACUAAUGACCGGCGAGGUGUGGUGGGGCACACAAGAUAAGGCAGAAUUGACUGAGAAGUUAUUGAAAGCUUAGGAAUCCUGACUGGUCAUUUUCACUCGUAAAUAAGAGGGUGGCUGAACGUUCCACUAAUGACCAGGGGGGUUGGUGGGGUGGCUCACAAGAUAAGGCUGAAAUGACUGAGAAGUUAUUGAAAGCUUAGGAAUCCUGACUGGCCAUUUUCACUCGUAAAUAAGAGGGUGGCUGAACGUUCCACUAAUGACCAGAUGGGGCACGCAAAAUAAUAACAACCCACAUUUGUGAAACAUUUUGGAAUAGAGAUCUGUACCCCUAUAUCCUGUAGAUAAAGGAGGCAUGUAGCUCCCAAUUUUCUUUGCCUGGGGUGCAAAUAGGGCUGUUUAAUGCGGGAAACACGAUCCAUUAACGCUGAGACUUUAUUAGAAAUUUAAUUUGACCAAAAUUGUGUUACUGGCUUUUUGGUGAAAAACUUGCAUGAUAGGGUAGAUAGCUACUGGUUUUCUUGAAUUUCAGAGAGUUGGACUAGGUGACACCAAAGUCCCUUCCAACCCUGCGAAUAUGUGGAUGUAUGGAAGGAAAUGUGUCUGCAAGGAUUGGAGUGGGUAUUUAGGGGUUUCCACCAUUUUGUC
Molecule: non-coding RNA, 15392 nt
Organism: Podarcis lilfordi (Lilford's wall lizard)
Lineage: Eukaryota; Metazoa; Chordata; Lepidosauria; Squamata; Lacertidae
Source: the annotation of a GenBank genome assembly